Molecule: transfer RNA, 73 nt
Filed under: Bos indicus (zebu cattle)
Lineage: Eukaryota; Metazoa; Chordata; Mammalia; Artiodactyla; Bovidae
Also listed under: 2 other names
Rfam family: tRNA
About the family: Transfer RNA (tRNA) molecules are approximately 80 nucleotides in length. Their secondary structure includes four short double-helical elements and three loops (D, anti-codon, and T loops).
Source: Rfam by way of RNAcentral
UCCCUGGUGGUCCAGUGGUUGAGACGCUGGGCUCCGAAUGUAGGGAGCCCAGGUUCGAUCCCUGGUCAGGGAA